GGUGGAGUAGCUUAGUGGUUUAAGCAUCGGACUGUAGACCACAUGGUUGCUGGGUUGAAUCCCAUGCCACCA
This is a non-coding RNA of Dallia pectoralis (Alaska blackfish), 72 nucleotides long. Lineage: Eukaryota; Metazoa; Chordata; Actinopteri; Esociformes; Umbridae. The record is from the annotation of a GenBank genome assembly.